UGUUUUGUUCCUUCAGUUUUCCUUUGUUCUUAUACUCCACAUAUGAGUGAAAUCAUUUGAUACUUGUCUUUCUCCGCCUGGCUUAUUUCACUGAGUGUAAUACCCUCUAGCUCCAUCCAUGUUGCAAAUGGUAGGAUUUGUUUUCUUCUUAUGGCUGAAUAAUAUUCCAUUAUGUAUAUGUACCACAUCUUCUUUAUCCAUUCAUCUACUGAUGGACACUUAGGUUGCUUCCAAUUCUUGGCUAUUGUAAAUAGUGCUGCGAUAAACAUAGGGGUGCAUCUGUCUUUUUCAAACUGGGCUCCUACAUUUUUAGGCUAAAUUUCUAGGAGUGGAAUUCCUGGGUCAAAUGGUAUUUCUAUUUUUAGUUUUUUGAGGAACCUUCAUACUGCUUUCCACAAUGGUUGAACAGGUUUACAUUCUCACCAGCAGUGUAGGAGGGUUCUAGGGGAGCUUUUUUUUUACUCAACAAAUCAAGUGUUUUGGCUUGGGACAGUAAAAAUCAAACUUUUAACUUGCAUACAAUUCUUAUUGACCCCAUUUUAUCCUAAAAUUAAUUUAAAAUGUCACUUUUGUCCAAAGUGCUGUCAUACAGUCUUGUUACAGUUAAGCUUUAAGAUCCCAGUUGAGAGAGACUCUUCUAAUGCAAUUUUUUCCCCUAUAUGACAGGAUCAGUUUGAUGGAGACCGCUAUUCUUCAGCAUCAGAAAAUGUCAAAAGUCCAAAUUCCUCUCUUUGUGUAUCAACUUUUUAGAAUUUCACAAAAUUUAAAAUGCAUAUUUUGAGUAUCAUUGAAUGGAUGAAUGUGGGUAAUAGCUUGCUAUAAUUAUUAGUGUUAUAAUCCAGUGUAAAGUUGAUCACUUCUUUGUGAGACCACUUCUUUAGUCAACUUUAGUGAUUGAAUAUUGAAUUCAAGUCAUAAAAUAAACCACCCUUUUUGAACUACCUAUUGGCCACUGGGAAUUGGCUGAUCUGGAGAUUACCUUCCUAGGUUUCAAUAUAGUUAAUCCUUCGUGAAUUGUUGGUCACAUUUUUGAAUAGUUUAGAAGUCUUAAUUAAAAUAUUUAGUAUUCUUGUAUUGUUUCAUUAAGAACUAAGUAAUCCAGUGUCCACUUCGGUCUAUGAUUCCAUUUAUUUUUCUUGUCCACCUUAACUUUACCAAAGGCAAUAUAUAUGGAAUUAAUACAUUUACAGUACCACCUUAAGAAUGCUAAUGACUUUAGGAAAAAGUUUCAUGUACAACAGAAUGCUAGUUAAAGUUGGAAAUAUAUAUAAAAGGUAGGUUUUUGUUGACUUACAUAGCAUGCCUUAUUUGAAAUAAUGCCCAGGAUCACUGAAGUACAUUAGAGAGGUCUAUGAAUUCUCUUGUUACAUGCAGAAUUUUAUAUACAUAUUUUUGCAUGAGUAAUAUCCAGGGGGAGAUUUGUAUUUCAUUCAAUUCUUAGGUGAAUUUAAGACACAAGUGGUUUGGAGAACAAUACCAAUUUAGGGCAGUUAAUUACACUAUUUUUGGAUCAUGUACCCCUCAGCAUUUAAAAAAAUUGAGCACAAAUGUGUAUUUAUUUGUAAAUUAUAAUUGUCCUACUGUACUAAUAUUUCAGGUGUGUCAUAAAAACAUUUUUAUAAAUAUGAGAACAAUAAACAUAAACCUGUGUCCCACUGAAAAAUCUGGGUUGCAUGUACUCCCUCUGGAGAGCAUUGGACCAGUAGGUAGUAACAUAUUUGUGUGCUCUGCCUUGGUACAAGUAGGAUAAAAUUUUGUAGAUAAGUAGAAAUGAUCCUAUGUAGCAUUUUGGAUUACAAGGCUUCAAGCUGUGGGUUGCUGAGGGCCAAUAAACCAUAUAAAUGGGCCUACCUAUAUAACAAAGGAAGAAUUUGGCAAAAUAGACACUCAAUAUUUUUAAAUCAUAGUAGACAUUAAGAUUUAGUGUUUAGGGUUUAAUGGUAUUCAAUGUUAAAAUACAAAAAAACUGAGUUGAAUUUUAAGUCAGUUGAUGUCCUUUGAGGAAAUAAAGAUUUUUCAUGAAUGGAAAUAAACGAGAUCAAGGCUUGAAAUAGCAUCUGAAUGGAAGCCGGGUUCUGUUAAGAACUUCAAUGGGUUAACACUUCUGUAUUUUUAUUUAUUAUUGAAACUGGCUUUUAAAAGUCUUAAAUCUGAUUUUACUGCAUUCCUAGGAGUAUAAAAGAAAACAUGGAUGAAGCUCCCUGAAACUUGGCUUCGAGCACAAAUUGAAGUUUGUAGACUAGGAAGUGCUGGUCUGUUCCCUCAGGCCGACAUCAUUCUGUGGGAGAAAUGUUUUUAAUUACAGGGGAGAAACAAACAAGAAAACAGCUAUCUAGUUCAUAUUUCUUCAAAUGAUAACAAAGCUCCAAACACUUUCCACUGUAUUUACUGAAAACAUGUGUGUAGUAAGUGGACCAGCGCAGCGCUCAGCUGUUCUCCAGGCAGCGGCAUCUGCGAGGAUUUAGCUGCCUCGUCAGACCCAGCAAGGAACAACUCUCUCAAGUGGAAGGAGUGGCCAGACGGUUCAAGAGACAGAACUUCCAUCCUUAAGAAACUGGAGCUUUCCGCGUUUGCAUACUCUCAAGGACAAGUGUGAUUUCAACUGAUGAGAGAAGCUAUGGUUUAGAGCAAAACAACUGUAUUAAACUGUGAGGCUCUAAGGUAUUAUCCUAUAGACACAACUGUUUCCAGAAUUUACUGGCGUAUCUGGCACAGAACUCGUAGAAGCUGAUAUACACAACUUUUAGGUAAUGUUACCCCAAGUUAACUCAAACCUUAACGUUGUUUCCCUGACCCUGCUUCAUUAAAGUAACUUGCCCAUUUCCCCAAUAAAUACUGUUAAAAGACUUUAUCCUAUUUCUUAGCCUAAACAACCUAAGGGAACUAUUUCAGGUUUUCUACUUGGUUUCUAUCCUAGAUAGCCUUGCCUCCCUUCAUAUUAGUGUAUCUAACGUGUUCUUGUAAAGUUGUUGCCAUCUUAGGCAUAAUUUUGAGAUAAGAGAAAUUUUCUUAAAAAAAAAACCCAUUUCUCUUAUGUAUAUGGGAUCAAGGUAUUACUGUUCCCCUUAACAUCCCUGGUCCAUAUAUGCACUGUUGCUAAUUCAAAUCUCGUAACUUUUUUCUAGAAAGCUAUUGUUUGUUAGUACAUGAUUCAAGAUGAUAACCAAAAAAAGUUAAAAUCCUAGCUAUCAUUUAGGUGCCUCUUUAGUAUCCACCUUGAGGUCCUGAUACUUGAGAUGAUAGAAAGGAAAUAUAGACCACUGCUGUUUGGUGGAAAACACUGUAGGAAAAGGCAACUUUAGUAUGUGAACAUGGUUCUCUGAACAAUGUCAGUAUCAGUACACCAUACGUGGUCUAAUAUGGGACACUGUGAAAAUUUCUCAUUAAAAUUAUAACCAGCCAUAAAACCCGUCAGGAACUGAACAGCCUUACACAUUCCCACAGUCUAGACUCAGCUUCAUUUAUCACUCUGUUAGAUAUUUCUUGAACCGUGUUGUCAGACCAGUGGGAACUCCACAGAAGCAACGACUUCACAAGACUGUGUGCUGAAGCUGGGCCGGCCUUUAAAGGGAACAGAAUCUGGUUUUUCAAAAUUACCUGAUGGAAUCUAAAAAAAAAAAGGCUAAAAGUUUACCACAUUCCCUUUCGGGCCUCACCUCAUUAUGUCUUGAUAUAUACAUUUUUUGCUGUAUCUUAGAUUCUGAUUAUCUUUAUUUACAAACAAUAAACUGCAAAUAAUACAGUC
Long non-coding RNA from Manis pentadactyla (Chinese pangolin), 3745 nucleotides. RefSeq lists it as uncharacterized. The record is from RefSeq and is a predicted model, not a curated record. The transcript is spliced from 3 exons. NCBI's taxonomy places the organism in Eukaryota, Metazoa, Chordata, Mammalia, Pholidota, Manidae.